GACGAACGCUGGCGGCGCGCCUAACACAUGCAAGUCGAACGAGCGAGAGAGAGCUUGCUUUCUCAAGCGAGUGGCGAACGGGUGAGUAACGCGUGAGGAACCUGCCUCAAAGAGGGGGACAACAGUUGGAAACGACUGCUAAUACCGCAUAAUGUGUUUUGGGGGCAUCCCCGAAAUACCAAAGAUUUAUCGCUGAAAGAUGGGCUCGCGUCUGAUUAGCUAGUUGGUGAGAUAACAGCCCACCAAGGCGACGAUCAGUAGCCGGACUGAGAGGUUGGCCGGCCACAUUGGGACUGAGACACGGCCCAG
Molecule: ribosomal RNA, 309 nt
Filed under: uncultured bacterium
Lineage: Bacteria
Description: bacterial SSU rRNA
Rfam family: Bacterial small subunit ribosomal RNA
Source: RNAcentral